Molecule: long non-coding RNA, 399 nt
Organism: Mycetomoellerius zeteki
Lineage: Eukaryota; Metazoa; Arthropoda; Insecta; Hymenoptera; Formicidae
Exons: 3
Source: RefSeq, a predicted model, not a curated record
UUAAUUGAAAAAAAUAUUACUAGGUGUACAAAUAAGUUUCCGGGUUUCACACAUGGAUGGCGCCAACGACACAUGUAGUCGACAUACAUGUCUGAAGUUGUUUAUUUUUUGUAGUUGCGACAUCUAACGACAAUAAUCAAUCAUAAUAUUUCCAGUUUCGCGACGAAAAAAAAUUUUUAUGCAACAGUGAAAAUGUCGGGUUUUGUGCCAAAAAAAACAGCAUUCGCGGGAAGUCUUGCUUUUCUGCUUUCACUUGGGCAAAAAUGCAGCUGAAGCACGUCGUUUGCUUGAGGAGGCUUACGGCGAACAUGCACCAUCGAAAAUAACCUGUGAAGAUUGGUUUAAACGCUUUAGAAGUGGCGAUUUCGACACUGCGGACAAAGAGCGCUCCGGAAGACC